Leopardus geoffroyi (Geoffroy's cat) is the source of this 767-nucleotide long non-coding RNA. RefSeq lists it as uncharacterized. The record is from RefSeq and is a predicted model, not a curated record. The transcript is spliced from 3 exons. NCBI's taxonomy places the organism in Eukaryota, Metazoa, Chordata, Mammalia, Carnivora, Felidae.
AGAAGAGAGCUCUGAAAAGUACUUAUUUACCCAGGCACAUUUCAGUAUUAUAAAAUUUUAUUAACAUCCUCAGGAACCCAAACGCCCACCUUGAUACCUAUGGGAGAUUUUUUUUUUUUUACUCAAUUAUGAAUAUACGUGCUUUAAGGAUGAGCUAUGAAGUCUUUUUAGACUAAAUGCCUUGAUAAAAUAAUGAAUAUUAAAUACGUCUCCGAGCCACAAAAAGGACUGAUCACAACACAGUGUCUGUAGUAGCUGAGGAGUGCCCCCUACAGUCGAACGUGCACAACGCAAGCAGAUGACCAGGAAAGAACAGAGCCGCAGUGUUUGAGGAUUCUCAGUAAGGCGGCAGUGAAAGAAAGGCUCGUUGUUACCCAUUGCGGGAUGGAUGAUUGGAAUUGGUAUUUUGAUUUCCUGCCUCAAAAUGAGAUCUCUCAGCCAUGGGAAACAUCAAAGUGUGAACACACAAGUCAUCACUAGAAAAGAGUAUACCAGGUGGGUCUCAGUGCUGCAUGAGCAGCUGUAGAAGCAAGGUCUGGAGAAGGAGCCAAUGUUGCCCACAGCCACAGGCCAGUGCCUGCCAUCUCCAUUGCUUGUAAAUUACAUCAGGGUUGAGCCUUGGUAAAAACCAGAAGUCCUACGGGCACAGGAAGAAGGGAAGGUUUAAGCUUCAUGACAAGGAGUCUUCAACAUGGAAGUGGACCACACUGAUGCUCAAAAGUAGACCUGCAUUCAAAGAUCAAUAAAGGUCAUUCCUUAGAUAUGAA